UACGGAGGGAGCUAGCGUUGUUCGGAAUUACUGGGCGUAAAGCGCACGUAGGCGGCCUUGUAAGUUAGAGGUGAAAGCCCGGGGCUCAACCCCGGAAUUGCCUUUAAGACUGCAUCGCUUGAAUUGUGGAGAGGUGAGUGGAAUUCCGAGUGUAGAGGUGAAAUUCGUAGAUAUUCGGAAGAACACCAGUGGCGAAGGCGACUCACUGGACACAUAUUGACGCUGAGGUGCGAAAGCGUGGGGAGCAAACAGG
This 253-nucleotide ribosomal RNA is filed under the name uncultured bacterium. RNAcentral describes it as "partial 16S ribosomal RNA". It matches the Rfam family "Bacterial small subunit ribosomal RNA", at positions 524 to 776 of the family's 1533-position model. The record is from RNAcentral.